GGGGAUGCAUAAGGCAUCGACAGACGCUUGAAAACUAUGGUUCAGGUGGAGAUGGGUUCCCUCCUAAAACGCCCAACCGGAUAAGUGCAAACUUAUUCAAAAAAGCGUUCUCGCUUCAGCCAGCAAUGGCAUUGGCGUAAGAACGCUUCCCCGAUCAGCAUCAUUUGCUCUUUAGCGAAUAUGCCGGGGCAUCGGCUGUGCUAACGCCUGUGCGGCGCAUCACCGGUGCUAUAUCAUCAGGAUCGCAAAGAAGGCAUGCUUCCGACCUCUUUGUUAAAAAAGGAGCAUAUCCUAAACUUGUCAACCCAUAGCUGGAUACGUUUGGACAGGAGUUCGAUUCUCCUCAUCUCCACCC
This 355-nucleotide transfer-messenger RNA is filed under the name Candidatus Ryanbacteria bacterium RIFCSPHIGHO2_01_FULL_45_22. It matches the Rfam family "transfer-messenger RNA". Rfam says of the family: Bacterial tmRNA, also known as 10Sa RNA or SsrA, is named for its dual tRNA and mRNA-like properties. Its role is to liberate the mRNA from a stalled ribosome. Lineage: Bacteria; Candidatus Ryaniibacteriota. The record is from RNAcentral. RNAcentral also lists the same sequence under 2 other names.